Molecule: long non-coding RNA, 1604 nt
Organism: Drosophila ananassae
Lineage: Eukaryota; Metazoa; Arthropoda; Insecta; Diptera; Drosophilidae
Exons: 2
Source: RefSeq, a predicted model, not a curated record
UGUAACGUCGGCGAUAGUUCGAUCGGGUUGGCAGCCUGGGGGGGUGCGGUGUUUCAGCCUUUCUGGCAGCCCGAUCGCGUAAUAGGACCCUAUUCAGCGUUUCGUGGAGGAUCUGAUCGAUCUGGUAGCGCGCUCAAAGCUAAGGUUAGGAAGCCGCGUGGGAGUGGCGUUCUUUUUGAAUUUAACCACGAAACAAGCAAGUUCGUGCAAGCAAGGAGAAGCAUCCGGAAAUUUUCGAGCAACUGCAGCGUAGUUUUACCCGCUGAGGAACCAUCGUGCUGGUGCAGGACCAGCAGGCAUACAGAAAGAGGGCCACAAGCGGCAUUUGGCAGUGUACGUGCUGCUCAGUCAAGGCAGGGCGCAAUCGUAGAAGCUAGCUAGGUCAGGGGUACCGGCGUGCGAGCUAGACCCCUGGUGGCAGAGAGGCAUAGUGCGAGCAACGGUUGGCCAAAAGAAGAAGAGAAGAGCGGGUUACAGUUGCGGCGCGAGUCUCUCAGUCAGGCCGCCCACGAGGCGGGGCUGAGGGGAGUCAUCAAAACCAAGUAGGAGCUGGAAAUACAGUGAGCUCGACCUGAAGUGAAGCAGUCGGAGCGUUCGCGACGCUUUAAGGGGCGCUCCGCCGGAGAUUCGGAUAGGGUUCGGCCCUAACCUCACAGGAGUCGCCGUGAAGUAGGCGCCAUCCUGGAGCAGUGAAGAAGGUCGGAGUGCUGGCGGCGCUUUAAGCAGCACCCCGCCGAUCGCAGGAGCCGCCGUGCAGUAGGCGAACGGAGGAGUCGCCGCAAAAUAGGCGAACUCCUAUAGGAGCAGUAGCGGGAGCGGAGCGCUGGCUGCGCUUUAAAGGAGCGUUCCAUUAUUCGAAGGAGCAGGCGUGGACUAACCUUCAAGCAUAGGAUAGGAAGCAGGGACAGGGCGCUUGCGGCGCUUCCAAGAAGCGCUUUGUCGAUCAGGAGAGCGGAUAGACUCGACCGGCUGAUGGUGCCUAACGGUGCCGGAAGCGGAGAAGAAGAAGUAGUGGGCGGAGAUUUCGCGUCAAAGCUCUGCCACUGGCUGUAUGUUUUGUUGUUGGCAUUGUUGACGGGUUAGGCAAAGGCCCUCCCGAAUUGCAUAUUAUCUUUUCCAACCUCGAGUAGUGGAAGCGCUUCAACAACUCGUCGCGGAUGUAUUGAGUGAGUAAUCCUAAAUCUAUGCCAAGCCAGCAGAAGUGAUACUGAAUUCUCCGAUCAAUAUCUUUCCUCGUUUUCCGAGUUCCAGCCCAAGAGGCUUCACCGGUUAUACAGUCAACCCCACGCGUGGCCUUUGUAGUAGCGCUCUCUUAGUAACUAAAAUCUGUUGUCAUGAUAUUGAACGCGAGUCCGCAAAUCCUGCCAAAUCGAAUAUACAUUUAAGUUCUCUAAUCUUUAGCAAUAAGAUAUUAUUAAGCAUAGUCAGAAAAAUCAUACAUUGGAGUAUUAGAAUAGUUAGGAAGCUAGGAUAAGGAUGUCAUCUAGAAUUUUAAGGUCUUUUGUUAAGGAAUAAAACAAUGAAGUUUAUAAUGGAGUAAGAAAACAGAUUUCGCCUCGUUUGGGUCGCCACCGCCCUGCCGCCAACAUAUGCCGUGUACCUUC